RNAcentral lists this long non-coding RNA (336 nucleotides) under Eutrema salsugineum. RNAcentral's name for it is "long non-coding RNA (ESAL_LNC002210)". Lineage: Eukaryota; Viridiplantae; Streptophyta; Magnoliopsida; Brassicales; Brassicaceae. The record is from RNAcentral.
AUUAGGGUUCAUCUCUAGGGUUCAUGAUCUAUGACACAAGGAAUCUAGGUAAGGAUUUUCUAUGAUUCUGAAACUAGGAUAGACACUUGUAUGAUUAGCCAACUCUCGUCACCCUAAUCAUUUAAUCACUUAUCCUUGGCAAUUAACUCUCGCUCUCAUGCUAGAAUAAGAUCAUGCAUUUUAGCUCAAAAUCCAUCUUGGCUUACGUAUCCUCCGUAGGUAGCUUUCGUCUCCUACGACGGUGACGUCCAUGAGAUCCAGUUCAGGCAACCUAGAUACAACACUCUCGUGGCUUAGAUUUAACCUAGGAUCUGACACUGGUUAGCUACUCCAGCG